This 89-nucleotide ribosomal RNA is filed under the name uncultured bacterium. RNAcentral describes it as "partial 16S ribosomal RNA". The record is from RNAcentral.
UAAACUUCUGUCAUUAGAGAACAAGUGCCGCCGAGUAACUACCGGCGGCUUGAUAGUAUCUGAAGAGGAAGGGACGGCUAACUCUGUGC